CAGUCGCCGCGGUAAUACGAAGGGUGCAAGCGUUACUCGGAUUUACUGGGCGUAAAGCGUGCGUAGGCGGCUUCUUAAGUCGGAUGUGAAAUCCCUGAGCUUAACUUAGGAAUUGCAUUCGAUACUGGGAAGCUAGAGUAUGGGAGAGGAUGGUAGAAUUCCAGGUGUAGCGGUGAAAUGCGUAGAGAUCUGGAGGAAUACCGAUGGCGAAGGCAGCCAUCUGGCCUAAUACUGACGCUGAGGUACGAAAGCAUGGGGAGCAAACAGGAUUAGAUACCCCGGUAGUCCCUGUCUCUUAUAC
This 301-nucleotide ribosomal RNA is filed under the name uncultured bacterium. RNAcentral describes it as "partial 16S ribosomal RNA". It matches the Rfam family "Bacterial small subunit ribosomal RNA", at positions 509 to 807 of the family's 1533-position model. The record is from RNAcentral.